GAUGAACGCUGGCGGCGUGCCUAAUACAUGCAAGUCGAGCGAACAGACGAGGAGCUUGCUCCUCUGACGUUAGCGGCGGACGGGUGAGUAACACGUGGAUAACCUACCUAUAAGACUGGGAUAACUUCGGGAAACCGGAGCUAAUACCGGAUAAUAUAUUGAACCGCAUGGUUCAAUAGUGAAAGACGGUUUUGCUGUCACUUAUAGAUGGAUCCGCGCCGCAUUAGCUAGUUGGUAAGGUAACGGCUUACCAAGGCAACGAUGCGUAGCCGACCUGAGAGGGUGAUCGGCCACACUGGAACUGGGACACGGUCCAGACUCCUACGGGAGGCAGCAGUAGGGAAUCUUCCGCAAUGGGCGAAAGCCUGACGGAGCAACGCCGCGUGAGUGAUGAAGGUCUUCGGAUCGUAAAACUCUGUUAUUAGGGAAGAACAAACGUGUAAGUAACUAUGCACGUCUUGACGGUACCUAAUCAGAAAGCCACGGCUAACUACGUG
RNAcentral lists this ribosomal RNA (497 nucleotides) under uncultured bacterium. RNAcentral describes it as "partial 16S ribosomal RNA". It matches the Rfam family "Bacterial small subunit ribosomal RNA", at positions 28 to 507 of the family's 1533-position model. The record is from RNAcentral.